AUGCAAGUCGAGCGAACGGACGAGAAGCUUGCUUCUCUGAUGUUAGCGGCGGACGGGUGAGUAACACGUGGAUAACCUACCUAUAAGACUGGGAUAACUUCGGGAAACCGGAGCUAAUACCGGAUAAUAUUUUGAACCGCAUGGUUCAAAAGUGAAAGACGGUCUUGCUGUCACUUAUAGAUGGAUCCGCGCUGCAUUAGCUAGUUGGUAAGGUAACGGCUUACCAAGGCAACGAUGCAUAGCCGACCUGAGAGGGUGAUCGGCCACACUGGAACUGAGACACGGUCCAGACUCCUACGGGAGGCAGCAGUAGGGAAUCUUCCGCAAUGGGCGAAAGCCUGACGGAGCAACGCCGCGUGAGUGAUGAAGGUCUUCGGAUCGUAAAACUCUGUUGUUAGGGAAGAACAUAUGUGUAAGUAACUGUGCACAUCUUGACGGUACCUAAUCAGAAAGCCACGGCUAACUACGUGCCAGCAGCCGCGGUAAUACGUAGGUGGCAAGCGUUAUCCGGAAUUAUUGGGCGUAAAGCGCGCGUAGGCGGUUUUUUAAGUCUGAUGUGAAAGCCCACGGCUCAACCGUGGAGGGUCAUUGGAAACUGGAAAACUUGAGUGCAGAAGAGGAAAGUGGAAUUCCAUGUGUAGCGGUGAAAUGCGCAGAGAUAUGGAGGAACACCAGUGGCGAAGGCGACUUUCUGGUCUGUAACUGACGCUGAUGUGCGAAAGCGUGGGGAUCAAACAGGAUUAGAUACCCUGGUAGUCCACGCCGUAAACGAUGAGUGCUAAGUGUUAGGGGGUUUCCGCCCCUUAGUGCUGCAGCUAACGCAUUAAGCACUCCGCCUGGGGAGUACGACCGCAAGGUUGAAACUCAAAGGAAUUGACGGGGACCCGCAAUCUGAUGUGAAAGCCCACGGCUCAACCGUGGAGGGUCAUUGGAAACUGGAAAACUUGAGUGCAGAAGAGGAAAGUGGACUUCCAUGUGUAGCGUGAAAUGCGCAGAGAUAUGGAGGAACACCAGUGGCGAGGCGGCUCUCUGGUCUGUAACUGACGCUGAUGUGCGAAAGCGUGGGGAUCAAACAGGAUUAGAUACCCUGGUAGUCCACGCCGUAAACGAUGAGUGCUAAGUGUUAGGGGGUUUCCGCCCUUUAGUGCUGCAGCUAACGCAUUAAGCACUCCGCCUGGGGAGUACGACCGCAAGGUUGAAACUCAAAGGAAUUGACGGGGACCCGCACAAGCGGUGGAGCAUGUGGUUUAAUUCGAAGCAACGCGAAGAACCUUACCAAAUCUUGACAUCCUUUGACCGCUCUAGAGAUAGAGUCUUCCCCUUCGGGGGACAAAGUGACAGGUGGUGCAUGGUUGUCGUCAGCUCGUGUCGUGAGAUGUUGGGUUAAGUCCCGCAACGAGCGCAACCCUUAAGCUUAGUUGCCAUCAUUAAGUUGGGCACUCUAGGUUGACUGCCGGUGACAAACCGGAGGAAGGUGGGGAUGACGUCAAAUCAUCAUGCCCCUUAUGAUUUGGGCUACACACGUGCUACAAUGGAUAAUACAAAGGGCAGCGAAUCCGCGAGGCCAAGCAAAUCCCAUAAAAUUAUUCUCAGUUCGGAUUGUAGUCUGCAACUCGACUACAUGAAGCUGGAAUCGCUAGUAAUCGUAGAUCAGCAUGCUACGGUGAAUACGUUCCCGGGUCUUGUACACACCGCCCGUCACACCACGAGAGUUUGUAACACCCGAAGCCGGUGGAGUAACCUUUUAGGAGCUAGCCGUCGAAU
This 1764-nucleotide ribosomal RNA is filed under the name Staphylococcus aureus. Its description in RNAcentral is "bacterial SSU rRNA". It matches the Rfam family "Bacterial small subunit ribosomal RNA". The record is from RNAcentral. Lineage: Bacteria; Bacillati; Bacillota; Bacilli; Caryophanales; Staphylococcaceae.